This 1677-nucleotide ribosomal RNA is filed under the name Triticum aestivum (bread wheat). RNAcentral's name for it is "partial small subunit ribosomal RNA". The record is from RNAcentral. Lineage: Eukaryota; Viridiplantae; Streptophyta; Magnoliopsida; Poales; Poaceae.
CAGGACUGGGCGUUUUAUUGAUAAUUUUAUGCCCAGGCGCACUUUUUUCGCCGGGCUAGUUUGGGGUGUUUGCGCGGCCUGGGCAUUUAUAAAAACGCCCCGCGCCGCUUUAAGGGUGGGAUUGGGCACUUUUGCGUACAAGAGGGGGAGCGGGUCAGCCACGGGACAUAUAUGGCCCUCUCCAACCGCCCUCCUGUAAAGUCGAGCAUGAAAAAGAGUGGGUGGCGGCGGAUGCUAAGGCAGGUAUGAUCGGCAGCCCUAGUGCGGCCGUCCGGCGGUGUGCGGGCUCUAACAGGAAGUGGUGAAGGAGGACGGAGCCGGUCAGCUUUUCAACGUCUAGUCGCCGACAAACAGCGUCGGCGACCUAAACCGCAAAGGCCGGUGGCUGCCGGCGCGGUUCGGUACCUAACCAGCCCUUCUGGGGUGUGUUGGGGCCGUUUCGGGGUCGCGGCGUACGUCCAUGACCAAGCAGGAGAUCGGCAGCAGCAGCCAAACGGCUGUUACUGAGCCGGCCGGUAGCGGGCCCGAGCCGCGAGCGCGCCGCCGAGCGGCCGAGCGGCUACGGCGAGUGUGUCACGCUGCUGACGUGUGUCUGUCACGACGCCGAUUGUAGAUCGUACGGCGUUGUAGGGCCUACCCAUAAGAAGUUUACGCUUUUGCUACCCCUUCCACUAACGACCGAGAUGGGGGCGGCACCACCUAGCAGAACACGUCAGCAACAGACGAUCAAAAGGGUAGUUUCUAAACCCAGCGGAGCUCAUGAAAGAACCAAACCUUCGCAGGAAAGUAAGUCCCCCGUACUGGAACUGCGUCUUUUUCAUACGAAACCUGGAAGAAGUAGCGUAGUUGUACCUCUUGACGUUCCGGUGAAGGUGAGGCGAACGAUGUAGGCUCUCAGAGAGUGCAGUAUCACCACGUGAUGACCCAUCUCCACUGAGUAAAGCCAUAGCGUCACACCAACCUCGUGAAGUCAUAAACUGGGAGUGAGCAGGACUAUAGAGGAAGCGUCACUUGUUUCACACAGUCAAGUACAGAGUCGGUUGCCUCCUAGUAACCCUUCGUCAGUUCGCAUAAGACUCUAUACAGUUUCCAACACAACUACUAUCCGCGAGAUGAUCACCAAAACGAUAUAAACAACCUGGGUUAGAACAUAGAACCUCGAGUUUCUUCGUUGGGUGUCAGAGCUCCAGUUCGUGGCUCCGUCUAAUAUUCCGUAACCGGUUACCACGCCGAUUUCGGUAAACCUAUCUGAGUCAAGAGUAUCUUGAACCUCAGGGUGCCGUCGCGUGAGGAUAUAACACCACACUAUUGAAUCCCCGUUGAAUGGACUGCCGCUUAGGUCACAAAGUACGAGCCUGAUUUGUGUAACUCUAACUAAAAGUAAAACACUCUCUUGCUCAUCGACGAACACUUGACUUUCAGUCCAAAUAAAGAUGUCUACUAGUCAAUCGCCUAAAUAAAUGAUUUGGGCGAUGAUCUGUUUUCUAUCUGGCGAAAUCUUGGUUAGACUUAGAAUAUACAUCAAGUCUAACUCCCCCGUACAUUUCAUCCCAGAUCAUAUAACAAGAACAUGUACAUAAACAUAUGUAUGCAUUAACAUUAACACUAAUAGAAAUAUAACUCUGCACUCCGACCUACAAUUGGUGGGUGCGUUUUGGGAUUUGGGACACAAAGUUG